UUUAAUAUGGCAGAUUCAAGUGCAAUGAUUUUAAACAUCAUAUAUAAAAUUUAUAUUUUUAUUAAAA
Molecule: transfer RNA, 67 nt
Filed under: Nomia chalybeata
Lineage: Eukaryota; Metazoa; Arthropoda; Insecta; Hymenoptera; Halictidae
Description: tRNA-Leu
Source: RNAcentral